This 22070-nucleotide long non-coding RNA is filed under the name Citrus sinensis (sweet orange). Its description in RNAcentral is "long non-coding RNA (CSIN_LNC001567)". The record is from RNAcentral. Lineage: Eukaryota; Viridiplantae; Streptophyta; Magnoliopsida; Sapindales; Rutaceae.
CGCCAAUGGACGGAACUACGGCAUAUCACUUCAUGAACUCAUGGGCUGAGAUGGCGCGUGGCAUUCCUAUUAGCGUUCCACCAAUCUUUGAUCGAACUAUACUAGAUGUUGGAGUCCCAACUUCUCCAUCAUUUCACCACAUCGAAUACGAUCCCCCUCCUUCCAUGAAUACUCCUACUCAAAAUCCUCAAGCCAUUUCCACUACAAUCCUGAAAUUAUCACCUGAUCAAAUGAACAUCCUUAAAGAAAAAUCUAAGGGAGAUCACGGAUCCACUGUCAAGUAUACUAGAUUUGAGAUUGUAACAGCACAUAUAUGGCGCUGCCCAUGUAAAGCACGAGGGUUGUCUGUUGAUCAAGCUACCAAGUUAGAGAUUCCCACAUCUGGGCGAUUUAAAUUGAAUCCUAAAAUUCCACUUGGGUAUUGUGGCAAUGUAAACUUCAGGGCCACACCAAUGGCCUUGUCAGGUGAUAUUCAAUCGGAAUCAUUAAAUUGUACAACAGAGAGAAUUCAUGAAGCAAUUAAAUUGAGGGAUGACAAGUAUAUGAAUGGGGUCGGCCGGUGUUUACGAUGCCUUUGUUCGGCAUGGACGGAGAUGUUUUCAUUUUACCGGGUCCAACCAAUGAUGGGAGCUGGUUGGUGGUUGUAGACAUGGAAACUAACCACUUGCAGCACUUCAACAAGUAUUUUUAUGAUAUCUUUCCGUAAUCCCACGAUGUAAUAUCUUUGGGUGUUGUGUUGAUACUAACCAUCUUAUUAUUUGCUGGUAUGUUUGUAAUAACGAACACCCUUUUGUCCUUUCGAAAUGAUUAAUGAACUGCUUGAAUGCAUUGAAUAUAGAGAGCUGCUAAAACUGAGAAUUGGAGAAUUGAUGAUCAUACAAAAGCUUAUCUCAGGCAUCAUUCACGACUUUGGACUGGACAGCCAAGAAAAUUCUGUUAGCUUAUAGGAUAAUAGCGUCAAGGCCCCUAAGUUUCUGCCUCUUAUUAACCAAAUUACAUUUUCUUCUAUUUCUCAAAUAUGCCCAUAAUCCCGGCAAAAAUAUAACUGAAAUAACUUUUGUAUCGUUAUGAUCUAAUACAACUAUGAUAAAAAAAUCUAUUUUCGAUAAAAACGUACAAAUUAUAAGUAACUUUGUUCUUCAUUCAACAAAACAAGAAAACUUGAAAACACAAACUCAGUCAAAUUUUUCAGUAACAGUUUUAUCUCUCGCCAAAGCAGAGUGUUAAGACAUUAAAGGCAAUCUCAUUGAAACAUAUAAAACCAUGCGCAAUAAUAAUUUUUUAACUUAAAACUUUAUGAAUUAUGAUUGGUGAUUGCAAUGCGGACUUACUGAACAACACAGGUCAAAACUCAAUUAAAAAAUAAUAAUACAUCAAUUUCAAGCCCAACGUCGUCAUCUGAAACACUACAAAGAAAAUUCUAAUCAAACACCAAUAGAUGAACCAUCACUUGGUUAGUAUCAGAACCUUAUUCUUAGCACAGAUGUUUAAUAUUAGAUAAUUAUUAGCUCAUUAAAGCUGUACUCGGAUAAAAAUGGCAGUAAAAAGACACUGAUAAUAUUGUCUUCAAAACAGGCAAGAGCAACAUCUUGACUGUCAACUUACAAGACACCAAACAAACUAGGAAACUGCAUCACUUCAAAACUCUAACAUGACGGUUAAACUGUUUGCUCAGCUUGUAAGAUUUAAAUCACAUUUACAUUUACAGGAAUCCUCCCUUGGGCAUCACAUCAAAACUCUAACAUGACGGUUAAACUGUUCGCUCAGCUUGUAAGAUUUAAAUCACAUUUACAGUAUGAUGCCCAAGGGAGGAUUCCUGUUUCACUAUAUGGCCUGAGUACAGUCUUCUCACAAUAUGUUCCAAUGAAAAAUUAAAGUUAUAUUGAACCAACCUAUUUCUGGAAUGAUAUUGAGUAGGUGCCAGUGUUCGGAUCUUUAACAGCUUUGAAGUUGUUGGUGCUCAUCCCAAAACGGCCCAGGAUAGAGUUACCCAUUUCUUUUAGCUUUCCUGCUCAAAGGAAACAAUUUCACAUUUUGGUUAAUGAAUAACUGAUGAAGCAUGCACACAAAAGCAUAAGAAAUGUCGGAUGAAAAUUGUAGCCUAGAUGUUUGUCAAGACGAAGAAUUAGGUAAUCUAAUUAUAUAUAACCAUUAUUCUAAUACAAAUCCUUUUCUGACAACACAACUCCCCCACCCUCUGUGUGUACCGAUGAUAACCCUUCAAAUAAAAUGACUUCACUGUAUGACUAGUAGGAAAUGGCUCUGCACAUACCAAAGCAUGAGCACAGGCAUAGAAUCCUUGUUUGUCAAAGGUGUGUCAUACCCAAAAAAUUAUAUAAAAAAGAGAAAAAAGAAGACAUCAAACAGGACCAAACAACCAUUGAGGAUCAUAUAAAAUAUCUCUUUUCAGUAGUGUGGUCGGUAUUAAACUUCAAACUUUGAAAUACUUCCUCCACACUCAAAUUGAAUUUUCUACACCCUCCGAAAACUUCUGUUUAAUCCUCACAUUUAAUUGAAAGAUGUUGGGGGUAAAGCAGAUUCUAUAAACAAGUAACAACUAUCACUUCCCAUGCAUGUUAUGUUCCAAAACCAAUUAAUUCUUUCGAUCAUCAAACACCUAGUCCUUACAGACUAUCUCAAGGAAGCAUGCUCAAAAUCUCAUUCACAACAAUAACUUCACUUAGUCCAACCUACAAUUUUAAUUAAUUAAUCUUCUCUUUCCAUUAUCUGUUCCAACUUCUAGCUGCAUGUAAGAAUUCAUCUACUUCUUACUCGGAGGUAUUAACGGACCAUCAUAAAAAGCAGUUUGCAAAGACAUGAAAUUGCAUAUGGCUAUGAGUUCUCAACAAUGUAACAACAAAUAUACUAUAAAGGCACUAAUAAUAAGGGUGAACUGGUUAAAAAGUAAUGAAAAAACGAAGUCUAGAUGCCUCAUUCAUUUGCUCCAAUUGAUGAAGAUGGAGAAUGGUGUGCCUCAGAAACAGUCUUAAAUUUUUGUUUCAACGUCUUCCAACAACCAACUCUGCAGGCAGAGAUGUAUCUCCGUGAUGCAGGAUGCACAUGUAUUUGGGUGGAAACAAGUGGACUUGCUAAUGAGAAGCAAGAGAGUUCCAUCAGCGUACACUCAAUUUGGGUUAAAGGUCUUGAUGGAACCUUAUUUCACCAAGAGAUCUUCAGUCCUUAUAUGAUUGUAAAUUCCUAUUUCUGUAUCGACAGCUUUCUUUACUGCCAUUUAUAUCAUUCUUUGAUACGCACUAAUGUUUCACAGUUUCUUAAUGAGAAGAAAAUGAAAUCGCAGAAGAAAAUCAUUGCCAAGCUUACCAAUCAUCUCUUCCUUCAUCUUUUCAAGUUUUUCCUCUGCCAGUGGCUGCAAACGAAGAAUGGUUCUCUUGGCUUGAUUAUUUGAAGGAUCAAAUUCCAAGAUUUUCUUCAUCUGUGAUAGAAAAAAUGAAGAAAAGUUCAAAGAAAAUGACAUUUGAAAUUAGAAGUAGUUAUGAAGGUGCCACAAAUCAGCCUGUGAAAUGUAAAGAACUUCAUGGAAGGUCGACAAAAAAAUACAAGACUCAGGGUUCAAAACCAAACUACAUAAUCCAACAUAGAAUGAACAAGAAACUAAAACGUAUUUGUUAUGUGAAUGACAACAAUCAUCAAAUCCUGAAUACCAGCAAUAGCCUCUUCAAAGUGUUCAAGCUUUUCAUGUGCCUCUGCUCUUCUGAUCAGAGCUUUCAUAUAUGUAGGAUUAAGCUCCAAUGCCUUUGUGCAUUCUUUGAUAGACUCCUCGAAUUUUCCCUAAUGUAAAUUAUCAUCAAUCUGGAGUUAGAAAGACUAUAGGAAUCUUGGAUGCAAAACAAACAGCAUGAACCGCAGAUUCCACAGGAUAAACAAAAGUUGGCAGAUUUUAAAAUAUGAAGUACUUCUCCAUAAAUUUCUAUCUUCAUUUACCAUCUGAACUUGAACAUCAUCAUGUCUAUUUGAUAACAAUACAACAAAUCAGAAGGAGAAAGGAUCAGAUCCACUCAAAGUAAACUCCAAAGGUAAUAGUAAAAUGAACUACUAUAGAGAAUAAGGUUUUCGGAAUCUAAUAAAAAAAAUGCAUUAUAAACAAUGCUAAACAAACCGGGAUGAAAUCAGAACAUAAACAAACAGACUGACUGACAGAACUCAAAAACAUCAAAUGCCUCAUGCUUUACUAAUUUCUUCUUUAGUAACAACGCUGUCACAUUUAGCAAUUCACAUUUUCUAAAUCCUUUAAUACUUUAGGAUGCACAAACAAAACAAAGUGUUGUUAUUGAAUGAAAUGUGGAUAAAAGAGUAACAUACAAGCUUCAAAAAGCAUAUUCCACGAUUUGAAUGGCAUAUGGAACGCAGCUCUGCCAUUUCCGGCGCCGUCGCCACUUCCUUCUUCCCCGAUGCCGACUGCCCUUCCUUAGCCUCCGGCGCCGAAGCCAAUUCCGCUCUCUCCGGCACCGAUGCCACUCGCAAAGCUACCUCAUACUGUAACAACGCCUCCUCAUAUUUACCUUCACCAAACAACUUAUUCCCUUCGAGUUUCGCCUCAUUCGCUUCAUUUAACUAAAAGAACAAAAAGCAGAAUAUAUAUUGUAAACAGGACAGCUAAAAUAUUGAAGUAUUUUCACACAUUUUCAUUAACUGUAAUGCAUCAUUUGUAACUAAUAAAGAGAAAAUAAAGGGAACUAUAUAUGAGAGUAUCAAGGAGAAUAAUGGAAGAGAUUGUUGUUAGUAACUUGUGGAGAGUAUCAUGGAGCUUGAGAUUAUCUGAUAUGCCCCCGCAAGAGGGUGUUGCCAUUGGCGACACCCAUCUUGAACCUUAAUUCAGAAAAUGGUUGCUUGGAGAGGGGUUUGGUUAGGCUAUUAGCAAGUUGAUCUGCUGCAGAUAUAUAAGAUACGCGCAAUAGCCCUUUGUUGACCCAAUCGCGAACAAAAUGAUAAGCAAGAUCAAUGUGUUUUACCCUUGAAUGAAAGACUGGAUUGCAACACAAAUAGGUAGUUUCAAUAUUAUCACAAUAAAUGGUAGGAGUUUGACUCAAUUGAAGGCCAAGUUCUUGAAGUAGAUUCUGAACCCAUCNNNNNNNNNNNNNNNNNNNNNNNNNNNNNNNNNNNNNNNNNNNNNNNNNNNNNNNNNNNNNNNNNNNNNNNNNNNNNNNNNNNNNNNNNNNNNNNNNNNNNNNNNNNNNNNNNNNNNNNNNNNNNNNNNNNNNNNNNNNNNNNNNNNNNNNNNNNNNNNNNNNNNNNNNNNNNNNNNNNNNNNNNNNNNNNNNNNNNNNNNNNNNNNNNNNNNNNNNNNNNNNNNNNNNNNNNNNNNNNNNNNNNNNNNNNNNNNNNNNNNNNNNNNNNNNNNNNNNNNNNNNNNNNNNNNNNNNNNNNNNNNNNNNNNNNNNNNNNNNNNNNNNNNNNNNNNNNNNNNNNNNNNNNNNNNNNNNNNNNNNNNNNNNNNNUGGCUUAGCUCCACACAUAUUAGUUUUGGAGAGAAGAUCACAUAUAUACUUAUGUUGUGACAAAAACAGACCAGUAGUUGUUGGAAUGACUUCUAUACCCAAAAAGUAGUGUAGAUGGCCAAGGUCCUUAAUUGAGAAUUUCUUUGCUAACAAGUGAACAAAUUUAGAUAGAAAAUUACCAUUGUUGCCAGUGAGGAUAAGAUCAUCAACAUAGACCAAAAAGAAUGCAGUGAUGCCCCCGUGAUUGUAAAUAAAUAAAGAAGCAUCGGAGAUAGCAUUGUGAAAGCCAAUUUGAUGCAAGAAGGAAUAUAGUUCUUGGUACCAGGCACGGGGUGCUUGUUUUAACCCAUAUAAUGCUUUUCGUAACUUGCAAACAUGAUUGGGAAAAUGAUGAUUAGUGAACCCAGGGGGUUGAGACAUGUAAACUGCUUCUGAAAGUGUGCCAUGGAGAAAAGCAUUGUUGACAUCUAGUUGUUGGAGCGGCCAACCAUUAGCAAGAGCAAGACAAAGGAUGAAACGCACGGUUGUAGGCUUGACAACGGGACUGAAAGUUUCGGAGUAGUCAACAUCGACUCGUUGAUGAAAACCUUUGGCGACUAAGCGAGCUUUAUAGCGCUCUAUAGUGCCAUUUGGAUGUCGUUUGAUGCGAAAAAACCAUUUGCAGCCAAUGAUGUUUUGCGAUUGUAAAUAAGGAACUAGUUCCCAUGUCUGAUUUUGGAUUAAAGCUUUAUAUUCACAUAUCAUUGUAGCCUUCCAGUUGGGAUCUUGUAAAGCAUGUGCAACUGAUGUUGGUUCGAAAGUAUUAAGUAGGGGAUGUUUGGUGGUAACGAGAGUGAGUUUAUGUUUAGGCUUGAAGAUAUUAUUUUUCGCUCGAGUUAUCAUAUGGUGGUUUGGCCUAGUUUGCGAUGUUGAAUUGGUUGAGUUGGAAUCUUGAUCUGGUGAGUUUGAGGAUAAAGGUGAUGUAGGCAUGGUGGGCAAAGGAUCUGUCUCGAUGGAUGAAGGACUAGUCGCUGGAGAAUCAGUUAUGGCAUCAACCUGCAAGGAAGUAUUUUGAGUGGCACCAUUAUCUGCAUCAAACGUGUUAGAAGAAGAUACAAGUGGAGAAAAAUUGGCUGCCAUAGAUGGAGUCUAAUUAGAAUAAGAAGAAGUGGAAACACGAGUUUGAGAUAAAUCUAAACCAUGACAAGGAAAAGUAGAUUCAUAAAAAAUAACAUGACGUGAUAUAUACGUACGAUUAGAAACAUGAUCAAAACAUUUAUAGGCACUUUGUGAAGUGCAAUAUCCUAAAAAGAUACAAGCUUUAGACCUAGGUUCCAGUUUGAGUGGAAUAUGGAUGUAGCCAAGGGAAACACUGACAUCCAAAAAUUUUGAGUUUAUUGUAAUUAGGUUCACCACCAAAAAGUGUUUCAUAGGGACUUUUUAACUUAAGAAUAUUAGUGGGUAAGCGAUUAAUCAAAUAUACAGCUGUAUGAAAAGCAUAAGUCCAAAAACGUAUAGAAAGAGAUGCUUGAUGUAGUAAGGUAAGACCUGUUUCUACAAUGUGACGAUGACGUCGUUCACUAGUACCAUUAUGCUCAGGGGUAUAUGGAGUUGAUGUGAGAUGUGAAAUGUCACAUUUACUGAAAAAUGGUUUCAAUUUUAUAAAUUCUCCACCACCAUCUGAGAAAACAGAAACAAUGGAAGUCUUAAAAAAAAUUUCAACUAAGAUUUUAAAAUUGAUAAAGAUAUCGUACACAUCAGAUUUUUGUUUCAUUGGGUAAAACCAAAUAUAUUUUGUAAAAUGAUCCACGAAUAUAACGUAAAAUCGAAAAUUAUCAUGGGAAGUAAUAGGCGCAGGACCCCAAACAUCUGUGUAAAUAAGCUCUAAAAGUUUGGAGCUUGAAAGAGAAUUUUCAACAAAAGGGAGUCUAUGGCUUUUAUAACUAGCACAUGAAUUACAAAAGGAAUCAGAUUUAUUUCGUGUUACCGUCAAAGAAUUUUUAUUAAGAAUAUAUUGUAGAAUCUGAAAUGAAGGAUGGCCUAGUUGUUGAUGCCAAGUAGAAGUUGAAGUUGAUCUUGACGCAAAUACUAAAGGACUUUUGAUUGAAGAAGACAACAAAGGCCACUCGUACACUCCUUCCUUAUUCAGGCCGCGCAUGAGAACUGUUCCCGUUAGCUGAUCCUUCACAAGAAAACACGAGUCAAAAAAUUCAAUUGAGACUUUAUUGGUUUUACAAAGUUCGGAUACAGAGAUCAAUUUUUUUCGGAUACUGGGAACACAUAGUACAUUUGAUAAAGUAAUGGGUUUUGAGGUAGAGGAGAAUGUAAGCGAACCAAUAUGAGAGAUGGGCAAACCUGAGCCAUUGCCUAUUAUUACUUCAUCAGAACCUGUGUAAAGAGCAUGCUGAGAUAAAUUGUUAACGUCAGUAGUGACGUUGUGUGAAGCUGCAGAAUCAAGAAGCCAGGUUGGGUUCGGAUUCAGAGACGGACUGCUGUAGUUGCAUAUUGGGACACCUGGAUAAGGUAUCUGUGUAUUUGUUGAUGUUGCUGUAAAGUUGGCUAUAGGGUUGGAAGUUUGAGCUUGCAAUCUUGCAUAAUAAUUAUAUCNNNNNNNNNNNNNNNNNNNNNNNNNNNNNNNNNNNNNNNNNNNNNNNNNNNNNNNNNNNNNNNNNNNNNNNNNNNNNNNNNNNNNNNNNNNNNNCUAAAGGUUUGGAGCUUGAAAGAGAAUUUUCAGCAAAAGGGAGUCUAUGGCUUUUAUAACAAGCACAUGAAUUACAAAAGGAAUCAGAUUUAUUUCGUGUUACCGUCAAAGAAUUUUUAUUAAGAAUAUAUUGUAGAAUCUGAAAUGAAGGAUGGCCUAGUCGUUGAUGCCAAGUAGAAGUAGAAGUUGAUCUUGAUGCAAAUACUAAAGGACUUUUGAUUGAAGAAGACAAUGAAGGCCACUCGUACACUCCUUCCUUAUUCAGGCUGCGCUUGAGAACUGUUCCCGUUAGCUGAUCCUUUACAAGAAAACACGAGUCAAAAAAUUCAAUUGAGACUUUAUUGGUUUUACAAAGUUCGGAUACAGAGAUCAAUUUUUUUCGGAUACUGGGAACACAUAGUACAUUUGAUAAAGUAAUGGGUUUUGAGGUAGAGGAGAAUGUAAGCGAACCAAUAUGAGAGAUGGGCAAACCUGAGCCAUUGCCUAUUAUUACUUCAUCAGAACCUGUGUAAAGAGCAUGCUGAGAUAAAUUGUUAACGUCAGUAGUGACGUUGUGUGAAGCUACAGAAUCAAGAAGCCAGGUUUGGUUCGGAUUCAGAGACGGACUGCUGUAGUUGCAUAUUGGGACACCUGGAUAAGGUAUCUGUGUAUUUGUUGAUGUUGCUGUAAAGUUGGCUAUAGGGUUGGAAGUUUGAGCUUGCAAUCUUGCAUAAUAAUUAUAUCCAUCAGAACAUUUCUUAGCACUGUGUCCUUUUUGGUGACAAAUUUGACAAGUGCCUUGGUAACCUUUCCUGCGAUUUGGUUGUUGAUUCCAAUUGUUUGAUGGGUAAGGAUUAGGACCUGAGUAUCUUUGGUUAUUUUGGAAGGUUUGAGGUGGAUUUAAACUGGGUGGUCUUGAUGGAAAAAAUGGUUGAAGAGGUGCUCAAGGAUUUUGAGAAUAGUGUGAGAAAUUAUUAUAAUUUCUUUGUGUAGCAUGGGCUGAUAUGACGGGGUUGUAUGGUGUUUCUUCUGUUCGCGAGGAUUGCAAGGAUACUUCGACAUCAACGAGUUUGUCACGCAGGGUAGGGAAAGUAAUUGGUGUGCCUCUAGCUCGAAUAGCUGCAGCAAUUUCUUUGAAUUCAGGUUUGAUCUUUGUGUAGCAUGGGCUGAUAUGACGGGGUUGUAUGGUGUUUCUUCUGUUCGCGAGGAUUGCAAGGAUACUUCGACAUCAACGAGUUUGUCACGCAGGUCAAGGAAAGUAAUUGGUGUGUCUCUAGCUUGAAUAGCUGCAACAAUUUCUUUGAAUUCAGGUUUAAGUCCAUUAAGAAUCAUAACAGUGAGGUCAAUUUCGGAGACCGGAGUAUCAACCAAUGCAAGCUCAUUAGCCAUCGUUUUCAUACUCUGUAAAUACUCAGCUACAGGCCUGUUUUCUUGCUUCAUUCGUGACAUACGGCCUUUGAGAUUAACUACAUGGGUUCUGUUGUGGCUUUGAAAUGUUGAUGUGAGUGUAGUAAGGGCACCGAUGGAGUUUGCAGCUGAAGCAAUAAGAGAAGCAAUUUCUGGUUCUACUGAUGCAAUUAUUGCAUUUAGAAUAAAUUGAUCUUGGUGCUGCUAUAUGGUGUAAGCAAGAUUAAUGGUUGCUUUUCCAUCAUCACCGGUUAUUAUUGGAAGGGGACACUUUAUUGCACCUGUAACAAAACCAUGAAGAUCAUAUCCUAUUAGGACAAUGUUUAAUUGUGCUCUCCAGGUCAUAAAGUUGUAUUGAUUCAACUUGAGAGAAAGUUGUGAGGAUGUAUUUAUAACAAUCAGGUUGCCUGCAGAAUUGAACGCGCCAUCAGAAGAAAAAAAGGCAGCAGACACAGGAGAGGAAGAGGUGAUUAAGGUUGAGCUAGAAGCCAUGUUAUAGGUUUACUCGUAGGAGAAAUUAAUUGCUCUGAUACCAUAAAAGAACAAAAAGCAGAAUAUAUAUUGUAAACAGGACAGCUAAAAUAUUGGAGUAUUUUCACACAUUUCCAUUAACUGUAAUGCAUGUAUUUAUAUACAUCAUUUGUAACUAAUAAAGAGAAAAUAAAGGAAACUAUAUAUGAGAGUAUCAAGGAGAAUAAUGGAAGAGAUUGUUGUUCGUAACUUGUGGAGAGUAUCAUGGAGCUUGAGAUUAUCUGAUAUUAACGCUUUCUACAUAAAAUCAAUCAUUAAUUCAUCAAUCAUUUGCUUCACUAGCUGAAUUUACCAAAACUAGUAAAACUGAAAUGAUAAUAACAAAAUGCGGAAAUGAAAAACUUGGCUCAAUUCGUUGUCGUUUAGAGCAACAGGCUGUUCUCCUCCCCCUCGUUGUCGUCGCUGACGUCGCGUUCGUCGGAUUUGGCUCAUUCAGAUCUCUGAAUGCUGGUUUUAUUUUAUUUUUCUUCUGUUAAUGCAAAUGCAGAUUUGAGUUCAUCGGAUUUGGCUUCGUCCGGUUGGGGGCAUAAUGGCGCUAAUGGCAUAGAAGUAGUAGCUUUUUGUCAUUACUUUCUUCUUCUAAAGUUUUUUUUUCGUUACUUUUUUAUUAUUUUAAUAUUUUAUUUGCAUUAUUUUAAUUUUUAAAAUAAAAAGAGAGAUAGAAGUAGGGAUGGCAAUGGGGAGGGGAGGGGAGGGGACCAAUCUCCCCAUACCCAUCCCCGAUAUUUUACAUAUGUCCCCGUCCCCUCCCCGUCCCCAUCAGAAUUGCUUGAGAGAAUCCCCAUCCCCUCCCCGAAUAAUAACAGGGGAUCCCCGAGGGUCCCCGGUCCCCGAAUAACUAAUAGUCUAAUACAUUUUUUUUAUUUUCGAUUUUAAAUUAAUCAUAUUAAAAUAAACUCAUACCGCUAUUGUAAGCUCGUAACCAACUUUGACAGCACAUUAAGGCCUCCAAUGUGCUUGGAUGAAGUCUGUUAUGGUAUGGGCUCACAACUCUACCACUAGUGUUAAAAGCUGAUUCAGAAGCAACUGUUGUAAUUGGAAUUGCCAAAAUAUCUCUAGCAAUUCGAGCUAAUGUAGGAUACCUAUUAGCAUUUGUCUUCCACCAACUCAAAAUAUUAAAAUCUUCCAUCCGAGAUAUAACUUUCUCAUCCAAAUAUGAAUCUAAUUCAUCUGCAACAACUGCACAAUCUCCAUUGUUUACAUAAUCAUUAAAACCUGUCAUCCAUUUGGUUGCUUUCUUAUAAGAAUCCCCUGUAGAUCUAGUAGAAGAACUACUACCAGUAUAAUCAAAGCAAUAAACAGUUGGUGAAAACUUCAAUUAAUACUCUUCAACUAAUUCCCGGCAAAGGGUGACCACUUUCCCAACAUACAACUAUUUUGAUAUUUAUUAUUUUUAACAAUAUUUAUAAUUUUGUUAUUUAUUUAUUAGUAAUUUUAAAAAUAAAAAUAAAAUUAAAAAUUAAAAUGGGGAAAUGGGUAGGGCUGCUGUACCGUACAUCCGCCUUGGCCGUACAGCAGAUUUAUUGAGAAAAAAAAAGAAGUAAGACCCACAGAAAUGGCAACAGGCGCUGCCGUUUCUGUUGUCCCUUUGUUCGUUUAGCCCCAUUAGUGCUGCUACUUAGACAAUACCACAAUAAAGGGAAGACACGACAGCAUUUCCUAUCCUCCCUCUCUUCUAUUAAGGGCCCAUAAUAAGUUUAAAAAAAUAAUAUAUAAUAGUGCACAUGUGUGAAUAAAGUGAAAACUUUUUUUUUGGCUAUUGGAUAAGAGUUUUAACAUGAUUAUUAAAGUGGAAGGCCAUAACUUUAUAUGCAUCUCUUUUAGUUGUUUAUCACACAACUGAUAUCUGUAUUUCCAGCUCUAUAUUUGCUCGAUUUCAAUAACAUAAAAAAGGGUCAUAAGGAAGAAGAGAGAGAAGUUAGAUCUUGAUUUAUUCAAUAGUGGGAAAAAAAAGUGAAACAAAAUCAAUGGCAAUAGAUCUGCAAACAAAGGCAGCUUGAUAAAAUUGUUGAUAAUUGAUUGAUAAGUUGGUCUCUCUCAUACAUUCAAAUAAAGUUUUUGUUGUGUUCUGUAUAUUUAAAUGGUUAGAAAAAUUUUAAUUUAAAUUGUAAAAAUUCAUAGAUUUGUGCUUUUUAUAUAUUUAAAUUGUUAUGGAUUUUUUUUUUUACUUUCAAUUGUUAGGAAGUGGAAGGCCAUAACUUCAUAUGCAUCUCUUUUAGUUGUUUAUCACACAACUAAUAUCUGCAUUUCCAGCUCUGCUUUUGCUUGAUUUCAAUAACAUAAAAAAAAGCAGCCAUAAGGAAGAAGAGAGAGAAGUUAGAUCCGGAUUUUUUCAAUAACAGAAAAAAAAAAGUAAAACAAAACCAAUGGUAAUAGAUCUGCAAACAGAGGCAACUUCAUAAAAUUGUUGUUAAUUGAUUGGUAAGUUGGUCUCUCUCAUACAUUCAAAUAAAGUUUUUGUUGUGUUCUGUAUAUUUAAAUUGUUAGAAUGUUUUUAAUUUAAAUUGUAAAAAUUCGUAGAUUUGUGCUUUUUAUAUAUUUAAAUUGUUAUGAUUUUUUUUUUUUACUUUCAAUUGUUAGGAAGUGGAAGGCCAUAACUUCAUAUGCAUCUCUUUUAGUUGUUUAUCACACAACUAAUAUCUGCAUUUCCAGCUCUGCUUUUGCUUGAUUUCAAUAACAUAAAAAAAAGCAGCCAUAAGGAAGAAGAGAGAGAAGUUAGAUCCGGAUUUUUUCAAUAACAGAAAAAAAAAAGUAAAACAAAACCAAUGGUAAUAGAUCUGCAAACAGAGGCAACUUCAUAAAAUUGUUGUUAAUUGAUUGGUAAGUUGGUCUCUCUCAUACAUUCAAAUAAAGUUUUUGUUGUGUUCUGUAUAUUUAAAUUGUUAGAAUGUUUUUAAUUUAAAUUGUAAAAAUUCGUAGAUUUGUGCUUUUUAUAUAUUUAAAUUGUUAUGAUUUUUUUUUUUACUUUGAAUUGAUAAGAAGUAAUGGAUUAAAUUUAUAGCAAUUUUCUGGAUGUGUUUUAUAUAUGUUAGGAUUUUUUUAAUUUAAAUUACUGGAAAUAAUAGAAUAAAUUAUAACAAUUUAUGGAUGUGUUUUAUAUAUUUAAAUUGUUAGGAUUUUUUAAUUUAAAUUGUUGGAGAUAAUGGAAUAAAUUAUAAAAAUUUGUGGAUGUGUUUUAUAUUUAAAUUGUUAGGAUUUUUUGUUACUGGACAAGAAUAUUGUAAAAGUUUCUAAUUACUUAUUCUUAAUACAAAUGUUAAUUAUUUUGUAGAAAUUGAGAAUUUGGAAAAUGAGCAUGCAUUUGAAGAGUUGCAAGAAACAUGAGUCAACAAUGUAGAUGAAAUUGUGCAACCGAAAAAAUAUGAGCCAACUCUUGGAAUAUUAUUUAAUAGUCAUGAAGAAAUGUUUGCAUUUUACAAAGUUUAUGGUAAAACAAAAAGAGUUUCAUGUAAAGGUUUGAACUCCUAAGAAAAGGGACUGAUAGAAUUGUAAAGUAUGCGACAUUUGCAUGUGGCCGCAGCGGAAAAUCAGAAUGGAAAUCUACUAAUGUAUUGAAGCAGAAACUUGAUGUGAAAAAUGGUUGUGAUGCAUAAAUUGGAGGUUGUCUAAAUGAAGAUGGAAAAUGGGUUCUUCGAACUUUAAAUCUUCAAUACAACCAUGAAUUGAGUGUAGACAAAUUUAGGUAUUAAACAAAAUCAAACAAAUUAACGAACAAAAAUAGUUCCUCUAUGGAAGGAAAGUGAGAGGGAGAGAGUAUGUACGAGUGAGAGGUGACGACAAAAGAAAUUUGCAAAAAAAAGUCUACAAAAUUCGUAGAUUUAUUAGCUCUGUGCUGCAUCAACGACAAAUAAAAAUCUGCAAGGUUAGUUGGCGUGGUCACAGUAGAGAAGAGAUAAGGUUGGUUAGCCGGUUCUGUGAUGAUAGAGAAGAGAUGAAAAAUCACAAAAUUUAUUUUGUGAAAGACAAUUAGAGAUAAGGUAAAGAAAAGAUAAGGUUUGCUCUGAUAUCAUUUUUGGACUUCUCUUUUUUUUUUAUAUAUUUACUUUUUUAAAGUAAAUGUAGGCCCACAAAAAGGAAAUGAUAAAUGAAUGAAAUGAUAGCAAGUGGCUUCAAACAAAAUUCAAGCUACAAGUACAAGUCUAACUCAUAAUAAAAAAUUAUCUCAAGGAUUGAGAGUCAUCGUAAGUUCAUGUCAUUAGUCCAAUAAUUACUCUCAACACGAUAAUCUUCUCAACUCUAUUUGUCAAAGACCACAAAAUUGUUGACAAUUAAACCAAAUCAACCUCAAGUCCUCAUCAUCAGUUUCAAUCUAACUCUAAGGGAUCAAGAUUCUCUCCUGAUCUGAUCUCCUCCUGAUUAAAAAUAUAUGUGGUGAUUGAUAGUUAAUGAAUAAAAAAAAUAAAGAAAUUAAAUCAUAUUUAUACACUAUUACUUAAAGACACAUGACAUAAGAUCUUUAAAAACCCAUGAGAGCUUAGAUCAGGAGAGGGUCAUUGUCCAACUCUAAGACUAAGACAAAGGCUAAAGAGACUCGUGGCUGUUGCAUCAACUCUACCCCAUUCGAGAUCAAUACUUUGAUGAAAAAAUUGUAGCAGAGCUACCAAACUUGAGUAAUACAAAUUCAAAUAUGUUAGAUGACAGGGCAGCAUACUUAGCAUUUAUUAGUGUUCCGAAAGUUUAAAGUGGUCAGCCUUAUCUCUUAUCUUAUGAUUAAUUCAAGUUUUUUACUUUUACAUUUAUCAAGAUCAAGAUAAAGAUAACUAUUGUGAUGGCUUAUCGUGUUUCUUGUAAAGCACUAUAAAUGUAAUGAUUAUGUGGAGAAUUAAAUAUAACAAAAAAAAAGGUGCUUUAUUUCUUUUCCAAAAGGUGCUUUAUUUCUUUUCCAAGCCCAUCUUUAUAAUUCUAGUGUACAUAUUGAUCCGGUACCUAAAUUAUUCAAUAGCCAUAUUUGCAUUGAGCGUGAAUGUGACUUUGAAAUUUUAGAAAACCAAACAACUUGGAUAAGGUAGUUGAUUCCGUGUGUGGAAUAAAAGAAACUUAUCUCAAAACACUGACUUUAAACGCAAGCUCAUCGGUAUACAUAUGUCCGAAAUGAACUCAUUUUUCUUUUACCACAAGAAUUCUGAAGUCUUAGAGCCCCCAACCCCAAGGUAUAUGGGUACUUUCUUUUCUUGUUAAUUAAGGCAUGAUUUGAUUUGCUAGCUUUGUGUUGUGCACAGUAUCAGAGAUAACUAUAUCUAUUAUCCUGUAUAUUCUUAUUUUUUGUGGCCAUCGGAUGCAUGCAGGUGGUGACACAAUGGAAACAAUUCACGUAAAAGAGUCAACAAUAAUACGGCCUGCUCAAGAAACCCCCAGACAUUGCCUACGGUUGAGUGAUUUAGACCUGCUGAUGCCGGCAAGUCACAUCCCCAGUGUGUAUUUCUACCGAGGGCCAAAUUACCCUUGCAAUUUCUUUGAAGGUGGUUUACUGAAGGAGGCUUUGAGUAAAGUUCUUGUCCCGUUUUACCCCUUGGCCGGAAGAUUGGGUAAAGAUGAAAAUGGCAGAAUUGAAAUAAAAUGCAAAGGAGAGGGAGUUUUAUUUAUUGAAGCUGAAACGAGUUAUGUCACUGAUGAUUUUGGUGACUUUGAAUCAAGCUCGAAGCUCGUGCAACUUGUUCCACCUGUUGAUCGCACGAAAGAUGCAUGUUUUCAUCCACUUAUUAUGGCACAGGUAGAAGAAUAAGAAUAAAAAGAGAGCUCGUGUAUUUCCUCAUUUUAUUAAAAAUGAAAUUAGGAGCUAUUCCAUCAAAAGAAUUAUUCAUAAUACUCACUCAAACUUAGUCACUUUAUUUCUUUAUAGGUAACUCAUUUUAAGUGUGGAGGAGUUUCUCUUGGACUUAUGAUGCAUCAUCUGCCAAUGGACGGAACUACGGCAUAUCACUUCAUGAACUCAUGGGCUGAGAUGUCGCGUGGCAUUCCUAUUAGCGUUCCACCAAUCUUUGAUCGAACUAUACUAGAUGUUGGAGUCCCAACUUCUCCAUCAUUUCACCACAUCGAACACGAUCCCCCUCCUUUCAUGAAUAGUCCUACUCAAAAUCCUCAAGCCAUUUCCACUGCAAUCCUGAAAUUAUCACCUGAUCAAAUGAACAUCCUUAAAGAAAAAUCUAAGGGAGAUCACGGAUCCACCGUCAAGUAUACUAGAUUUGAGAUUGUAGCAGCACAUAUAUGGCGCUGCGCAUGUAAAGCACGAGGGUUGUCUAUUGAUCAAGCUACCAAGUUAGAGAUUCCCACAUCUGGGCGAUUUAAAUUGAAUCCUAAAAUUCCACUUGGGUAUUGUGGCAAUGUAAACUUCAGCGCCACACCAAUGGCCUUGUCAGGUGAUAUUCAAUCGGAAUCGUUAAAUUGUACAACAGAGAGAAUUCAUGAAGCAAUUAAAUUGAGGGAUGACAAGUAUAUGAAGUCAGGGCUUGCCUACCUAAAGCAACAACCUGAUUUAACAGUUAUCAGGCGAGACCCCAAAAUUAUUAAUUGUCCAAACCUGCUGAUAACCAAAGUAGCAGACAUGCCUAUGUACGAGGUAGAUUUUGGAUGGGGUCGGCCGGUGUUUACGACGCCUUGGGCCGCCGUGGACGGAGAGAUUUUCAUUUUACCUGGUCCAACCAAUGAUGGGAGCUGGUUGGUGGUUGUAGACAUGGAAACUAACCACUUGCAGCACUUCAACAAGUAUUUUUAUGAUAUCUUUCCGUAAUCCCACGAUGUAAUAAUGUCUUUGGGUGGAUACUUACGAUUGGGUCCGCCUUCGUUACACUUAAUGUAACUUACGGUGAGUCUGUGAAGUUUCAUCUAAUCUCCUAUGUUCUAUGUAAUUUAUAUUUUAUUCAUGAAUAUUAUAAACUUUUUGAAAUGUCAAAUUUCGUUUAACCCCUUAUACUCAAUUUUAUUUUAUUGAAAUCUUAGAGUAUGAAUUCGCCUCUAUAAUUUUAAACUCUCAAAAUAAUUUUUAUUUAAUUAAAAAAUAUAAUUAUUGUUAAAUGAAUUAUAAUUAUAAUUAUUAUUUUAUUAUAAUCAUAAACUGCUGUACUAUAAUCAUAAAUAUUUUUUAAAUAAAUUAUUAUUAUUAUUAAUAAUAAGAAUAAAAGAUAUUAUAAUUAAUUAAUCUAUUAACAAUAAUUAAUAAUAUUUUUUAACCCGUAAACACCGGCCGACCCCAUGCAAAAUCUACCUCGUACAUAGGCAUGUCUGCUACUUUGGUUAUCAGCAGGUUUGGACAAUUGACCCUCUUAUUAUUUGCUGAUAUGUUUCUAAUAAUGAACCCCCUUUUGUCCUUUUGAAAUGAUUAAUGAAGUGCUUGAGUGCAUUGAAGUUAUUUUAAAAGUACACAUAAAGAUUUGACAUUUACUUAUUUUUUAAAAAUAAAAAAGCAGGUAAAAUUUAAAUUAAUUUUUUAUUUCUUAUUUUUUAAUUCAGAUUGUCAAUUGAAUCCAUUUGUUAAAAAAUUAUUUAAUUAUCUCUUUAUGUUCGAACGAUGAUGACUUUAAAUAAUAAUUCUUACAAAUCACUCAAUUAAGUCCACCGGGCCAAUUAAAUAUUAUUUGUUUAUAUUAAUUUUAAUUCAAUUGAAAUUCCAUAGUAAUUUAACCUAAAGUUUAACACUCACAAAUAAUUUAUAGUUCAUUGUAAUUCCACAAAAUUAUUAGUUCUUGUAAUUUAAAUUAUUUUAAGGAAUUGAAUCAUAAUAUUUUGAAUUUAAUUCAAUCUUUCACGUGACUUUGUUGAAUAAAACUGACGGAUGUGUUUUAUAUAUUUAAAUUGUUAGGAUUUUUUUAAUUUAAAUUGUUAGAAAGUAAUGGAUUAAAUUUAUAGCAAUUUCUGGAUGUGUUUUAUGUAUGUUAGGAUUUUUCUAAUUUAAAUUGUUGGAGAUAAUGGAAUAAAUUAUAAAAAUUUGUGGGUGUGUUUUAUAUAUUUAAAUUGUUAUGUUAAUGGACAAAAUGUUAUAAAAGUUUCUAAUUACUUAUUCUUAAUACAAAUGUUAAUUAUUUUGUAGAAAUGGAGAAUUUGGAAAAUGAGCAUGCAUUUGAAGAGUUGCAAGAAACAAGAGCCAACAAUGUAGAUAAAAUUAUGCAACCGAAAAAAUAUGACCCAACUCUUGGGAUAUUAUUUAAUAGUCAUGAAAAAAUGUUUGCAUUUUACAAAGUCUAUGAUAAAUAAGAAGGGUUCCUGUAAAGGUUCGAACUACUAAGAAAGUGACUGAUGAAAUUGUAAAAUAUGCGACAUUUGCAUGUGGUCGUAGCGACAAGUUAGAAAGGAAAUCUGUUAAUGCAUUGAAGCCGAAACCUAAUGUGAAAAAUGGUUGUGAUGCAAAAAUUGGAGGUUGUCUAAAUGAAGAAGGAAAAUGGGUCCUUCGAACUUUAAAUCUUCAACACAACCAUGGAUUGAGUCCAGACAAAGCUAGGUAUUACACAAAAUCAAACAAAUUAACGAACUAAAAUAGUUCCUCUAUGGAAGGAAAGUGAGAGGGAGAGAGUAUAUACAAAUGAGAGGUGACGGCAAAAGAAAUUUGCAAAAGAAAGUCUGCAAAAUUUGUAGAUCUAUUGGCUUUGUGCUGCAUCGACGGCAAAGGAAAAUCUACAAGGUUGGUUGGCAUGGUCACGGUAGAGAAGAGAUAAGGUUGGUUAGCCGGUUCUGUGAUGGUAGAGAAGAGAUAAAAAAAUCGUAAAAUUGAUUUUGUGAAAGACAAUUAGAGAUAAAGUAGAGACGGUUGAGAAGAAAUAAGGUUUGAUCUGAUAUCCUUUUCAGACUUCUCUUUUAUUUUUUUAUUAAUAUUUAUUUUUUUUUUAAAGUAACUAUGGGCCCAUGAAGAGAAAAUGAUAAGUGAACGAAACGCAACGAGUGGCUUUAUUUCUUUUUCGAGCCCGUUUUAUAAUUAAAGUGUACAUAUUGAUUAGGUGGCUAAAUUAUUCAAUAACCAUAUUUAAAUGUAGCGCAGCGUGAAUGUUACUUUGAAAUUUUAGAAAAUCAAACAACUUGGAUAAGGUAAUUGAUUCCGCGUGUGGAAUAAAAAAAACUUAUCUCAAAAUAUUGGCUUUAAACGCAAGUUCAUCGGUAUACAUAUGUCCGAAAUGAACUCAUUUUUCAUUUACCAUAAGAAUUCUGAAGUCUUAGAGCUCCCAACCCCCAGGUAUAUGGGUACUUUCUUUUCUUGCUAAUUAAGGCAUAAUUUGAUUUGUGUUGUGCAUAGUAUCAGAGUUAACUAUAUCUAUUAUCCUGUAUAUUCUUAUUUUUCGUGGCCAUCGGAUGCAUGCAGGUGGUGACACAAUGGAAACAAUUCACGUAAAAGAGUCAACAAUAAUACGGCCUGCUCAAGAAACCCCCAGACAUUGCCUACGGUUGAGUGAUUUAGACCUGCUGAUGCCGGCAAGUCACAUCCCCAGUGUGUAUUUCUACCGAAUUACUUAUUCUUAAUACAAAUGUUAAUUAUUUUGUAGAAAUGGAGAAUUUGGAAAAUGAGCAUGCAUUUGAAGAGUUGCAAGAAACAAGAGCCAACAAUGUAGAUAAAAUUAUGCAACCGAAAAAAUAUGACCCAACUCUUGGGAUAUUAUUUAAUAGUCAUGAAAAAAUGUUUGCAUUUUACAAAGUCUAUGAUAAAUAAGAAGGGUUCCUGUAAAGGUUCGAACUACUAAGAAAGUGACUGAUGAAAUUGUAAAAUAUGCGACAUUUGCAUGUGGUCGUAGCGACAAGUUAGAAAGGAAAUCUGUUAAUGCAUUGAAGCCGAAACCUAAUGUGAAAAAUGGUUGUGAUGCAAAAAUUGGAGGUUGUCUAAAUGAAGAAGGAAAAUGGGUCCUUCGAACUUUAAAUCUUCAACACAACCAUGGAUUGAGUCCAGACAAAGCUAGGUAUUACACAAAAUCAAACAAAUUAACGAACUAAAAUAGUUCCUCUAUGGAAGGAAAGUGAGAGGGAGAGAGUAUAUACAAAUGAGAGGUGACGGCAAAAGAAAUUUGCAAAAGAAAGUCUGCAAAAUUUGUAGAUCUAUUGGCUUUGUGCUGCAUCGACGGCAAAGGAAAAUCUACAAGGUUGGUUGGCAUGGUCACGGUAGAGAAGAGAUAAGGUUGGUUAGCCGGUUCUGUGAUGGUAGAGAAGAGAUAAAAAAAUCGUAAAAUUGAUUUUGUGAAAGACAAUUAGAGAUAAAGUAGAGACGGUUGAGAAGAAAUAAGGUUUGAUCUGAUAUCCUUUUCAGACUUCUCUUUUAUUUUUUUAUUAAUAUUUAUUUUUUUUUUAAAGUAACUAUGGGCCCAUGAAGAGAAAAUGAUAAGUGAACGAAACGCAACGAGUGGCUUUAUUUCUUUUUCGAGCCCGUUUUAUAAUUAAAGUGUACAUAUUGAUUAGGUGGCUAAAUUAUUCAAUAACCAUAUUUAAAUGUAGCGCAGCGUGAAUGUUACUUUGAAAUUUUAGAAAAUCAAACAACUUGGAUAAGGUAAUUGAUUCCGCGUGUGGAAUAAAAAAAACUUAUCUCAAAAUAUUGGCUUUAAACGCAAGUUCAUCGGUAUACAUAUGUCCGAAAUGAACUCAUUUUUCAUUUACCAUAAGAAUUCUGAAGUCUUAGAGCUCCCAACCCCCAGGUAUAUGGGUACUUUCUUUUCUUGCUAAUUAAGGCAUAAUUUGAUUUGUGUUGUGCAUAGUAUCAGAGUUAACUAUAUCUAUUAUCCUGUAUAUUCUUAUUUUUCGUGGCCAUCGGAUGCAUGCAGGUGGUGACACAAUGGAAACAAUUCACGUAAAAGAGUCAACAAUAAUACGGCCUGCUCAAGAAACCCCCAGACAUUGCCUACGGUUGAGUGAUUUAGACCUGCUGAUGCCGGCAAGUCACAUCCCCAGUGUGUAUUUCUACCGACGGCCAAAUUACCCUUCCAAUUUGUUUGAAGGUGGUUUACUGAAGGAGGCUUUGAGUAAAGUUCUUGUCCCGUUUCACCCAUUGGCCGGAAGAUUGGGUAAAGAUGAAAAUGGCAGAAUUGAAAUAAAAUGUAACGGAAAGGGAGUUUUAUUUAUUGAAGCUGAAACGAGUUGUGUCACUGAUGAUUUUGGUGACUUUGAAUCAUGCUUGAAGCUCGUGCAACUUGUUCCACCUGUUGAUCGCACGAAAGAUGCAUAUUUUCAUCCACUUAUUAUGGCACAGGUAGAAGAAUAAGAAUAAAAAGAGAGCUCGUGUGUUUCCUCAUUUUAUUAAAAUGAAAUUGAGAGCUACUCCAUCAAAAGAAUUAUUCAUAAUACUCACUCAAACUUAGUCACUUUAUUUCUUUAUAGGUAACUCAUUUUAAGUGUGGAGGAGUUUCUCUUGGACUUAUGAUGCAUCAUCUGCCAAUGGACGGAACUACGGCAUAUCACUUCAUGAACUCAUGGGCUGAGAUGUCGCGUGGCAUUCCUAUUAGCGUUCCACCAAUCUUUGAUCGAACUAUACUAGAUGUUGGAGUCCCAACUUCUCCAUCAUUUCACCACAUCGAACACGAUCCCCCUCCUUUCAUGAAUAGUCCUACUCAAAAUCCUCAAGCCAUUUCCACUGCAAUCCUGAAAUUAUCACCUGAUCAAAUGAACAUCCUUAAAGAAAAAUCUAAGGGAGAUCACGGAUCCACCGUCAAGUAUACUAGAUUUGAGAUUGUAGCAGCACAUAUAUGGCGCUGCGCAUGUAAAGCACGAGGGUUGUCUGUUGAUCAAGCUACCAAGUUAGAUAUUCCUACAUCUGGGCGAUUUAAAUUGAAUCCUAAAAUUCCAUUUGGGUAUUGUGGCAAUGUAGGCUUCAGCACCACACCAAUGGCCUUGUCAGGUGAUAUUCAAUCGGAAUCGUUAAAUUGUACAACAGAGAGAAUUCAUGAAGCACUUAAAAUGACGGAUGACAAGUAUAUGAAGUCAGGGCAUGCUUACCUAAAGCAACAACCUGAUUUAACAGUUAUCAGGCGAGACGCCAAAAUUAGUAAUUGUCCAAACCUGCUGACAACCAAAUUGGCAGACAUGCCUAUGUACGAGGUGGAUCUUGGAUGGGGUCGGCC